This 74-nucleotide transfer RNA is filed under the name Dromaius novaehollandiae (emu). It matches the Rfam family "tRNA". From Rfam's summary of the family: Transfer RNA (tRNA) molecules are approximately 80 nucleotides in length. Their secondary structure includes four short double-helical elements and three loops (D, anti-codon, and T loops). Lineage: Eukaryota; Metazoa; Chordata; Aves; Casuariiformes; Dromaiidae. RNAcentral also lists the same sequence under 4 other names. The record is from Rfam by way of RNAcentral.
AGAAACUUAGGAUAACAGAACAAAACCGAAGGCCUUCAAAGCCUUAAAUAAGAGUUUAAAUCUCUUAGUUUCUG